CUUUACUCCAUGCUAGUUACAGAGUUUUGAGACGGACUUUUAGGCGCAACUCCACUUUUGUGAAGGCAGUUGUGUCACAUCUUUCUGCGACAGGAUAAUCACCGACUCCAGUUGUUGGGCACGCGGCUGCAUCUCCUCCUGUUCCCAGAUGUAGUGCGCUCUUUUGGGAAAUGAAACGUGCACAUUUUCGCUAGAGAUUUCAAUUAUCCUCUCCGCGUGGUCUUAUUCACAGCUUGAGUUUUUCCUGCCACAUUCGUGGCCACACAGGAGGAGACCGUGGGGAGGAAAACUCGGUCGGUUGCUCCAAGUUGGAUGUGGUUCAGGGUGACCCGACAUUGGACGCUGUAAUAACAUGGACUGUUCUUUCCCGUUGUUGUGAACUUU
RNAcentral lists this long non-coding RNA (384 nucleotides) under Toxoplasma gondii VEG. Lineage: Eukaryota; Apicomplexa; Conoidasida; Eucoccidiorida; Sarcocystidae. The record is from RNAcentral.